Molecule: ribosomal RNA, 403 nt
Filed under: uncultured bacterium
Lineage: Bacteria
Description: partial 16S ribosomal RNA
Rfam family: Bacterial small subunit ribosomal RNA
Source: RNAcentral
AUUGAACGCUGGCGGCAGGCCUAACACAUGCAAGUCGAGCGAGCGGCGGACGGGUGAGUAAUGUAUGGGGACUGCCCGAUAGAGGGGGAUAACUACUGGAAACGGUGGCUAAUACCGCAUACUAUCGGAUAACCCAUAUGGGAUUAGCUAGUAGGUGGGGUAAAGGCUUACCUAGGCGACGAUCCCUAGCUGGUCUGAGAGGAUGAUCAGCCACACUGGAACUGAGACACGGCCCAGACUCCUACGGAGGCAGCAGUGGGGAAUAUUCCACAAUGGGCGAAAGCCUGAUGCAGCCACGCCGCGUGUAUGAUGAAGGCCUUAGGGUUGUAAAGCACUGUUAGCAGGGAGGCGUUACCCGCAGAAAAAGCCCCGGCUAACUCCGUGCCAGCAGCCGCGGUAAUUC